GCUGGGCAUGGUGGUGUGCACCUGUAAUCCCAGCUACUCAGGAGGCUGAGGCAGGAGAAUUGCCUGAACCCAGGAGGCGGAGGUUGUGGUGAGCCGAGAUCGCGCCAUUGCACUCCAGCUGGGUAACAACAGCGAAACUCCGUCUCAAAAAAGAAAAAAAGUUGUAUGGGCUAAACAAUAAGGGAAAAUGGAUAUACCUCGCCUCCUCUGCGAUGUUACGUUUCUUUGUUUUAAGACAGAGUCUCUUUCUGUUGCCCAGGCUGGAGUGCAGUGGCGCGAUCUCGGCUCACUGCAACCUCUGCCUCCUGGGUUCAAGCGAUUCUCCCGCCUCAG
RNAcentral lists this small RNA (333 nucleotides) under Callithrix jacchus (white-tufted-ear marmoset). Its description in RNAcentral is "Metazoan signal recognition particle RNA (ENSCJAG00000064922.2)". The record is from RNAcentral. Lineage: Eukaryota; Metazoa; Chordata; Mammalia; Primates; Cebidae.